CCAGCUCAGACAGAGGAGGGAGACAAGGUACCACGUUAACAACAGGACUGAAAUUUCGCCCAGAGUACAGAGAGCUCAGCAGAUUCCUGGCAUUUCUGAAAAACAAUCCCUUGGGGUUGAAUCAAAUUAAAUGCUUUAGGAAAAAAAGUUAUGAUAUUCAAGAGAAAUAAUGUGGCUUAACAACUGAAGUUCCACUUCUGAUGGACCUGAGAAGCCUUGCAAAUGACGUUUGAUUUUCACACUCUUUGAAGAGACAACAGAUUUCAUUGUGCAGGGGAGAAGCUGCCCAAGUGGACUUCUGGAGUUCUGACUACUUUGGGAGAUCCAUUGACUGAAAUGGAAGAAAAUAAUUCUAAAAUUUGUAUGGAACCACAAAGACUGCUAAUAGCCAAAGCUAGUUUGAACAAGAAGAACAAAUCUGGAGGCCUCACACUUUCUGAUUUCAAAAUAUAUUACAAAGCUACAGUAGUAGCAUAAAAACAGAUGCAUAAACCAAUGGGUAGAAUAGACAGCCCAGAAAUAAGCCCACUUACAUGUGGUCAGCUAAGUUUUAACAAGGGUGCUAAGAAUACAUAAUAGGCAAAUGAUAGUCUCUUCAAUCAAGUAUGGAGAAAAUUGGAUAUCUACAUGCAAAAUGAUGAAACUGGACCAUUUUCUUGCACCAAAAAAUCAACUAAAAUGGGCUAAAGGCUUAAUUGUAAGACCUGCAAUCAUAAAACUCCUAGAAAAAAGCAUAAGGGAAAAGCUUCUUGAUAUUGGCCUUGGCUAUAAUUUUAUGAAUGUGACACUAAAAGCACAGAGAACAAAGGCAAAAUAGAAGACAGGGACUACAGCAAACUAAAAAGCUUCUGCACAGCAAAGGAAACAGUCAAGAAAAUGAAAAAGCAUCUAAUGGAAUGGGAGACAAUAUCGGCAAACCAUACAACUGAUAAAGGGUUAGUAUUAAAAAUACAUAAAGAACGCCGACAGCUCAAUAGCAAAAACCAAAUCAAACCAAACCAAGCAAGCAACCAAUCAAACCAAAAGCCCCAAAUAACCCUUGGGCAAAGGAACUGAAUAGACACUUUUCCAAAGAAGAUAUAUAAGUGGCCAACAGGCGUAUGAAAGUGUUCCACAUCUCUCAUCAUCAGGAAAAUUCAAAUCAAGACCAUAAUGAGAUAUUGCCUCAUCCCUGUUAGAAUGGCUAUUACAAAAAAACCCGGAAGAUAGGUGUUGGCAAAGAUUUGGGGAAAAGGAAAUUCAUAUACACUGUCGGUGGGAAUUGGUGCAGCCACCAUGAAAAACAGUAUGGAGGUUCCUCAAAAAAUUAAAAGUAGAACUAUCAUAUAUAUGAUCUGGCAGUCCCUCUCCUGAGUAUGUAUUCAGAGGAAUUGAAACAAGGAUCUUGAAGAGAUAUCUGCCCUCCCACGGUAAUUGCAGCAUUACCUCAAUAGCCAAGACACAGAAGCAACCUAAAUGUCCAUGGAUGGAUGAAUGGAUGAAUAAAAUGUGGUCUGUAUGUACAAUAAAAUAUUAUUCAGUCUUAAAAAGGAUGAAAAUCCUGCUAUUUGUGCCAGUAUAAAUGAACCUAAACUGAAGGGCACUAUGCUAAGUGAAGCAAACCAGAUAGAAGGACAAAAGCCAUAGGAUCCCACUUAUAGGAGGAAUUGAAAAUAAUGCAAUUUGUAGAAGCUGAGAGUAGAAUGGUGGUUGCCAAGGGCUGGUUUGGGGUGGGGGUGGGAAGACGGGGAGAUAUUAGUCAAAGGGUGUAAAGUUUCAGUUAUGCAGGAUGAAUAUGCUCUAGAGAUCUACCAAACAGCAUAUUGCUUGUAGUAAAUACUGUGUUGUAUACUUCAUAAUUUGCUAAGUAGGUAGAUCAUAUGUUAAGUGUUCUCUCUGUCUGUCUGUUUCUCUCUCUCUCUCUCACACACACACACAUACACACACACGCACACAAACACACACAAUGACAAAAUGUGUGGAAGGAAACUUUUGGAAGUGAUGUGUAUGUUUCUGGCACAGAUUGUGGUGAUGGUUUAAGGGGUAUAUACUUACUUCUAUAGUCAUCAAUAUGUAUUCAUUACAUACAUAUACCUUUGUGUAUAUCAAUAAUACCUCAAUAAAGUGGCUUAAAAUUG
Molecule: long non-coding RNA, 2117 nt
Organism: Homo sapiens (human)
Lineage: Eukaryota; Metazoa; Chordata; Mammalia; Primates; Hominidae
Source: Ensembl